RNAcentral lists this ribosomal RNA (498 nucleotides) under uncultured bacterium. Its description in RNAcentral is "partial 16S ribosomal RNA". It matches the Rfam family "Bacterial small subunit ribosomal RNA", at positions 29 to 523 of the family's 1533-position model. The record is from RNAcentral.
AUUGAACGCUGGCGGCAUGCUUUACACAUGCAAGUCGAACGGUAACAGGCCGCAAGGUGCUGACGAGUGGCGAACGGGUGAGUAAUGCAUCGGAACGUGCCCAGUCGUGGGGGAUAACGCAGCGAAAGCUGCGCUAAUACCGCAUACGAUCUAUGGAUGAAAGCGGGGGACCGUAAGGCCUCGCGCGAUUGGAGCGGCCGAUGUCAGAUUAGGGAGUUGGUGGGGUAAAGGCUCACCAAGCCAACGAUCUGUAGCUGGUCGGAGAGGACGACCAGCCACACUGGUACUGAGACACGGCCCAGACUCCUACGGGAGGCAGCAGUGGGGAAUUUUGGACAAUGGGCGCAAGCCUGAUCCAGCAAUGCCGCGUGCAGGAAGAAGGCCUUCGGGUUGUAAACUGCUUUUGUACGGAACGAAACGGUCCUGGUUAAUACCUAGGGCUAAUGACGGUACCGUAAGAAUAAGCACCGGCUAACUACGUGCCAGCCGCCGCGGUAA